RNAcentral lists this ribosomal RNA (403 nucleotides) under Chromobacterium haemolyticum. RNAcentral describes it as "bacterial SSU rRNA". It matches the Rfam family "Bacterial small subunit ribosomal RNA", at positions 1 to 403 of the family's 1533-position model. The record is from RNAcentral. Lineage: Bacteria; Pseudomonadati; Pseudomonadota; Betaproteobacteria; Neisseriales; Chromobacteriaceae.
AUUGAACUGAAGAGUUUGAUCCUGGCUCAGAUUGAACGCUGGCGGCAUGCUUUACACAUGCAAGUCGAACGGUAACAGGGUGCUUGCACCGCUGACGAGUGGCGAACGGGUGAGUAAUGCAUCGGAAUGUACCGUGUAAUGGGGGAUAGCUCGGCGAAAGCCGGAUUAAUACCGCAUACGCCCUGAGGGGGAAAGUGGGGGACCGUAAGGCCUCACGUUAUACGAGCAGCCGAUGUCUGAUUAGCUAGUUGGUGGGGUAAAGGCUCACCAAGGCAACGAUCAGUAGCGGGUCUGAGAGGAUGAUCCGCCACACUGGGACUGAGACACGGCCCAGACUCCUACGGGAGGCAGCAGUGGGGAAUUUUGGACAAUGGGCGCAAGCCUGAUCCAGCCAUGCCGCGUG